UACGUAGGGUGCGAGCGUUGUCCGGAAUUAUUGGGCGUAAAGAGCUCGUAGGCGGUUUGUCGCGUCGGCCGUGAAAACUUGGGGCUUAACUCCAAGCUUGCGGUCGAUACGGGCAGACUUGAGUUCGGCAGGGGAGACUGGAAUUCCUGGUGUAGCGGUGGAAUGCGCAGAUAUCAGGAGGAACACCGAUGGCGAAGGCAGUUCUCUGGGCCGUAACUGACGCUGAGGAGCGAAAGCGUGGGGAGCGAACAGG
Molecule: ribosomal RNA, 253 nt
Filed under: uncultured bacterium
Lineage: Bacteria
Description: partial 16S ribosomal RNA
Rfam family: Bacterial small subunit ribosomal RNA
Source: RNAcentral